ACGGAGGGUGCAAGCGUUAUCCGGAAUCAUUGGGUUUAAAGGGUCCGUAGGUGGACUAAUAAGUCAGUGGUGAAAGUCUGCAGCUUAACUGUAGAAUUGCCAUUGAUACUGUUAGUCUUGAAUUGUUAUGAAGUAACUAGAAUAUGUAGUGUAGCGGUGAAAUGCAUAGAUAUUACAUAGAAUACCGAUUGCGAAGGCAGGUUACUAAUAAUACAUUGACACUGAUGGACGAAAGCGUGGGGAGCGAACAGG
This 252-nucleotide ribosomal RNA is filed under the name uncultured bacterium. Its description in RNAcentral is "partial 16S ribosomal RNA". It matches the Rfam family "Bacterial small subunit ribosomal RNA", at positions 525 to 776 of the family's 1533-position model. The record is from RNAcentral.